AUAGAAAUGGCAAGUAAGUAGGACAACUGAAUCCAGAAUGGAUGAACAUUCAACGUGAAAAAUCGAUAGAGGAAAAGAAUUGAAUCAGCAACAUAUCUACUGAUGCGACUGAAGCUAUGCAACUUGAUAUGGAUGAAAUCGUGGUCAAGAGUUGGUGCAUGUGCAACUGAAGGAAUGUGGCCGAAAUGAAAUGACCAAUCAGGAGGGACCUUCAAUAAUUGCAAUGCUACUAUGCUAUAUUAGUGCUCAAUCCCAUGAUCAGAGCAUAAUCUGUUUGCAGGUCAAAGAGACAUGGAUAUAUAGAGAAGAUUAAUGCCAAGGUUGCUUCCGUGCAGUUGGCCGGUAUUUCUGUAGAGCUCACGGCAGCCGGUCGGUGAGACUCUGAGAGAUUGUAAGAUGCACAUGUGUCAGUCUUCAGUCUGCGGCUGGCUAGUCUCAGACAAAUGUACCCCUGUUUAUGGUUCUGCAAGUUAUUUGACUGUACAUCGACCAAUCAAGUUCUCUGAAUUUUACUGAUGCAAAUUCUGCGUGUUCUGAUAUUCUUUUGGUAACCACAUUCAGUGAAUACUCUCCCCAUUGCAUCCGUUA
Long non-coding RNA from Brachypodium distachyon (stiff brome), 588 nucleotides. RefSeq lists it as uncharacterized. Lineage: Eukaryota; Viridiplantae; Streptophyta; Magnoliopsida; Poales; Poaceae. The transcript has 2 exons. The record is from RefSeq and is a predicted model, not a curated record.